Molecule: microRNA, 22 nt
Filed under: Ixodes scapularis (black-legged tick)
Lineage: Eukaryota; Metazoa; Arthropoda; Arachnida; Ixodida; Ixodidae
Also listed under: 1 other name
Description: Isc-Mir-76_5p* (star (passenger))
Source: RNAcentral
CAGGUCUCUCGACCAACGACCA